CCGGGGAGCCCUCCGUGGGCGUUUCCUCCCUGAGACUGGCCCGCGCUGGCAACGGCGCGGGCCUUUUUUUAUCGUUCG
RNAcentral lists this small RNA (78 nucleotides) under bacterium YEK0313. RNAcentral describes it as "suhB". It matches the Rfam family "Makes More Granules Regulator RNA (mmgR)". Rfam says of the family: SuhB later renamed mmgR (makes more granules regulator) was a putative non-coding RNA found multiple times in the Agrobacterium tumefaciens genome and related alpha-proteobacteria. The record is from RNAcentral.